Molecule: transfer RNA, 77 nt
Filed under: Candidatus Erwinia haradaeae
Lineage: Bacteria; Pseudomonadati; Pseudomonadota; Gammaproteobacteria; Enterobacterales; Erwiniaceae
Description: transfer RNA Methionine
Rfam family: tRNA
About the family: Transfer RNA (tRNA) molecules are approximately 80 nucleotides in length. Their secondary structure includes four short double-helical elements and three loops (D, anti-codon, and T loops). Further hydrogen bonds mediate the characteristic L-shaped molecular structure. tRNAs have two regions of fundamental functional importance: the anti-codon, which is responsible for specific mRNA codon recognition, and the 3' end, to which the tRNAs corresponding amino acid is attached (by aminoacyl-tRNA synthetases). tRNAs cope with the degeneracy of the genetic code in two manners: having more than one tRNA (with a specific anti-codon) for a particular amino acid; and 'wobble' base-pairing, i.e. permitting non-standard base-pairing at the 3rd anti-codon position.
Source: RNAcentral
GGCUACUUAGCUCAGAUGGUUAGAGCACAGCACUCAUAAUGCUGGGGUCACAGGUUCAAUUCCUGUAGUAGCUACCA